RNAcentral lists this ribosomal RNA (253 nucleotides) under uncultured bacterium. RNAcentral's name for it is "partial 16S ribosomal RNA". It matches the Rfam family "Bacterial small subunit ribosomal RNA", at positions 524 to 776 of the family's 1533-position model. The record is from RNAcentral.
UACGUAGGGGGCAAGCGUUGUCCGGAAUCAUUGGGCGUAAAGCGCGUGUAGGCGGCUCGGUAAGUCCGCUCUGAAAGCCCGGGGCUCAACCCCGGGAGGCGGGUGGAUACUGCUGAGCUCGAGUCCGGAAGAGGAGUGUGGAAUUCCUGGUGUAGCGGUGAAAUGCGUAGAUAUGUGGAGGAACACCGAUGGCGAAGGCAGCCCCCUGGGUCAAGACUGACGCUCAUGCACGAAAGCGUGGGGAGCAAACAGG